GGAAGCGUGCCUGACCGCCCAAGGAGUACUUUGAUAGAGUACCUUAAAGGGGUUAAACUCCCCUCACUUCC
Molecule: transfer RNA, 71 nt
Filed under: Coleonyx brevis
Lineage: Eukaryota; Metazoa; Chordata; Lepidosauria; Squamata; Eublepharidae
Description: tRNA-Ile
Source: RNAcentral